UCCUGACACAAAUCCGGAGGAACAAGAGCCGCAUUCAGUUGGAAAGUGAAGAAGCCAAAUGUUGACUCUCAGGACCUUCUAGAAGAAUGAGCUGGGAACCACCCUCUGGGUCCUGCCGGAACCAGAGCCCGAGUUGAGAUUUGGCAUGUUUUCUGAUUUCUCAUGAACAUCUGAAAUACUUUUAAAUUGAUUGCGGUUUUUACUAAAAGCUGAAUCACCGGAUCCCUCUGUGACUGCUCCCGGUGAAAGGACAUACCAAGGCCACUUCUCAGUGUGGAUUCAUAGACCUGCCUGAGUUUUACAUUCACCACACAUACUUUCAAAGCUCCUUUCUGUCGCUGUAAGAAAGAAGACAGACCUUCUGAUGCACAUGCAAGUUUCUGUAACUUCAAGAUUCGUUGUGUCAACGUGGCUGCCAGAACAUUUCUUCCUUUCCCAGAAGUGCCCUCCAUGUUGUACCCUGUGGGCUGCCCUUUAUCACCAUCCAUGGGCUUUGGGCCACCCCCACCUUCUCCAAGCUGGUGACCUCUGGAACCUCACCCUCCACCUCCACCAUCUGGGAAGAUGAUCUGAACAGUAGGAGUUAACUUAGAAAACACGUUUUGUCUUUCUUCUUGUUGAGUCUUGGGAGAAGAUGCAGUGAUGGUACUACAUGGCUUUCAGUCUAUGCAAGUCAGAAUCACCUCCAUCCACCUCCAGCCUUUAUGAGACCCAGGACGUGGUACAACUCCCAUGGGGAACAUCAGUUCUGUCUCUACCAAGGAUGCAGAGAAAGACAAGCCUCCAGGCUUCUCCAGUUUAAGAUCAUCAUGGUAGCUGGCACCUCUGGAAGCCACAAGUGCGUCGAGGCUGAGGACCGCGUGGCUCUCACUUUGUGGAAAUAACUUGAGGAGGAUGACACGUCACUGUACCCUCAAAUCUUCUGGAGGGGCUGACUCCUUCCACACCUUCUUUACAUGGGGUGGAACUACUCUGAAUUAUGAGAAGCGGCACGUGUACUCAAAAAUGUACAUGGAACUGCAGUCGUGAAGAUUCAGGCUUGUUUCCGGGAAGAAAUCCUGACGGAAAUUCAGAAAAACGGGAGCUGCGUUCCAUUAGGACAUGAAUGCAUGAAAUGCUCAUCUCAGGACCUUCUAGAAGAAUGAGCUGGGACCCACUUCCGAGUCCUGCUGGAACCAGAGACCGAGGACUUCCAGUACUAUGUGGAAUAACUGGUGAGAGGGGUCAUCCCCAUCUUGUUCCUGACCUUGGAGGAAAAGCUUUCAAUUUUUCCCCAUUGAGGAUGAGAUUAGCUGUGUGUUUUUCGUAGAUGACCUUUAUUAUGUGCAGUGGGGUCUCCUCCUCUCUGGAAGUGCUAUCCAUGGGCACAGAGACACAUGGGGAGGUGGGGAUCCUGAGAUCCUACAGAGGACCUGGAUAAGCAUGCUCUUAGAGAAACAGCUGUACCUGUGACACAGGACACAAGAGAAUGUGCUCAUGUGAACACAAGUGAAGGACAUGGUGGGGACUUGCCACACAGUUUACAGUAUUUAUACCCACGGCACACUUGAAGGAAUUUUGGACAGCACAUUUACCAAAAAAAAGGUGGAAUGCUGACGGGUAUGAAAUGUACUUCAUCUAAGACCAUUCUAAAUGACGCAUACAAAAAUAUAAGUUGGAGUGAAGGCAGUUUUCAUUUUCAAACUGUAAGGAUACCCACAGAUUUUUCUGAACACGUGAAAACCCUUGAUAGAAAGAAACAGGAGAGGAAGAAACAGCAAAAGCAAUGAUUUCACACUGAGAAGAUCUGGAAAGAAUGAGGCAAGGUAGGAGACUUCCAAGUGGAGUGUGGUGUCAUCCUCCUUGAUUUAUUCCGGGAACACGUUGGAAAAGCCCUAUGGUCCUCACCCUUAAGCACACUUAGCUUCUAAAGGUACCACAAAGAGAUGCCAGGUGGAAAACAGGGAAGCCCGUAGACUCAGGGGUAAAGGUUGUGCAUUUGGGGGGAAAAAAAGACAGCACCCAUACCAUACGGCACUCAAACCAGAGACAGUGGCAGGAGAGUGUGCUGCACAGAAAGAUGCGGCUCUCUGGAAAGACGUAGAACUGAAAAUGCCACAGCAUUUACCUUAUGCUUCUUGGCAGUUUUGGUAGAGCCAGUGUUGAUGUCACUCUUGGGAGUGACACCUGCUUCUGGAUCUGCUAAAGGCCCUAGAAGGGAUGGAGGUUUAUUUUGAUUUGAGUAGACUGUUUAGAGAUCAAAAACAAAAACAAAGAAAACCCUCCCUUCAUUCUUGUGACAACUUAAACUCUUUGCCCCAGUCAGAUCCCAAAUCAGAUGCAGAGGGUGUCCCACAUGCCUCAGGUGAUCCCCGAGGAACUUGAAGAACCAUCCCUUAUAACCUAAUGAAGACUCCUAAAAGCCCUGAUUCAGAUGUAUUCCUCACUCAUCGAACAACUAUAGAUGGCUGGGGGCACAACUAGAUGGACAUACGUUACGUUGUGCCUCAUGCCUCACAGAUCCCAGCACGUGGACUGUGUAUAGGGAGGGCAUCACUGCUGAACCGCUCUGUCUGCUUUUCUGUACACGGCCCCAUUCCUUCCCCACAAGAGACGCCUGUACCAACAUAUGGUGGGGGAAAUGACAAAGAUGAUAUGUUGAGCAUGAGAAACUUGAGGAAUGUGGUAGUGGAAACAGACACAUUCCCCUUGUAUCACAAUGGUCUGUGGCACUGCUCCUGCACCUUGGCCAAAGGCCUAACACCAACAAAAAUAAGAUGAGUGUGUUUUACAAGUCACCUUCUAGUGCUCAGAUCAUCUUACCAAGUGUUGCAGGUGGAGGGGUUUGGGGUGGCCCCAGGGCCACCAAGGCUCAGGAGGUGGAUGUGCCUAAUAGUCCAUGGGGGCGGGGCACCUCUAGGGUAGGGCAUGCAAAAUCAUCCAGUUAACAGAGGAGGUCCCCAGGAUCCAGACUGCCCUGCAGAACAGAAGUGACAGCUACAUUCAUAUGCCAGACAAGAGAACAAAUAUCAAAACCAGAGAAGAAUGUGUUCACACCUGCCACCUUCUCUGCCACCAGGAUCCAAGAGAGUAGCAUCAGUACCUGAAAGCUCCAUCCCUGCCACUGGACACCACCUACAGCUUGGGGUAGUAGAUGCAAGAGGUUAACCUACUGCCACCACUCAUCACUGCCCAUGUCUGCAGAAGUAAAAUGGCAAGGGUCCUGUCCUAGAGGGUUAACAGAAGUAAUUACAGUCUAAUGAAGUAGCACUCUCUGGACAGGCAGCCAUCGAUGUCCAGGUUCACCCUGCAUCCCUCCUCUACGGCGACUCCAGAUGCUCUGUUUUGGUAUGUUAAGAACACAAAAAAAUGAGUGGGAAUAAAUGGCUCAUAUUCUGCUCAUGGAAUCAUAGCCACUCCUGGCGAAAAGUUCUGCAGCUGGACCCUCACCUUGCCUCCUCUGCUUCUCUCCCUGAGAAAGGAGUCUUCCUUCCUGAAGUGUUGUCAAAGGCCUCUGAGACCUCUGGGGAGUGGAGGAUGCCUGGAAUCUUGCAGGGGAAUGAGAGUCUCCUGUGACAAAUAAGUUACUUAUGAAUGUCUACAAAGCUCAGAUGUGUUCAUCUUAAUUCAUAGGGAAUUCUGAUUUUAAGCAUACUACAGGACACAGAGUAAUUAUGCCCAACAGAAAAAAGAGGUAGAAAUUCACAUAACCGAUUUAAAGCAAGUGUUUUGGUAUAAAACUCCUGGUAUGUGUCAUGAGACUGUAGCAGCUCUAACAGUGACUGGGGACACAACCAGAAACUGCUCAUAUAAACAUAAUUGAAGGACACAGUGUUCAAACUAUUUUUACCUAAGGUAUAGCUGGAAGGAUUCCAGACAACUCAUUUACCAACAAAUAUGGGAAGGUGAUGCGUGAUGACACUGACUUUAUCUAAGACCACUCUAAAUGGUACAGGGCACAAAAUAUAAAGUUGGAGUCAUGAUGUCGUUUUGCACUUUUGAAUUUUAAACAAUAUGGCAGACUUUCUAACAGGUUCAUCUCCUAGCCAGAAUCAAGAAAGGAAGACACAGCAGCCACACUGUUCCCACAGAGGUGAGGUCUGGAAGGGGUCACCCAGCCCAGGAGGCUUCUGUUUGGAGUGUGGGGUCAUCCUCCUCUCAUUAUUUCCUGAACCACAUGGAAAAACCUUAAGACCACACGAUGAUCACACACAGGAACAGGCUGCACAGCAGAAAUUAGACUGCGGCACAUCACAACAUGCUCCUUACCUCUCCUUGGAGGGUUCUGCGUCUCUGGUCUUGCAGCCAUUGGUUUCUGCCUCCUGUAUCCCUCAGGCAGCCUCUUUGCUUCCAUCCUGUCCAGUCUUGGAUACAGAAAAAUAAUGGACUUAUAUAAGAGUUGCAACACCACGUCGUCUUCUAGACAACAAACAGUGCACGCAUCAUCCCUGGAAACACCCAUAAAAAUGCAAGUCAAAUGACCACACCUGUAUUUCAAAAUGCAAUCCAGGCAAAGAAGGGAUUCUCACCUUCAAUUUAAGAGCUUCAUCAGAGAGAAACUUACUUUCUCUCUUAGUUUCCUGAAGACAUUUCCUUAAUUCAUUGUUGUAUAAAACACAAAAAGGAAUCAGAAUUAAAAAAAAAAAGCAUAGUGCUAGAUAAACCUACCUUCUAAUGUGUGACUCCUUUCACAAAUAAAGAGGUAGCUCUUUA
Herpailurus yagouaroundi (jaguarundi) is the source of this 4692-nucleotide long non-coding RNA. RefSeq lists it as uncharacterized. The record is from RefSeq and is a predicted model, not a curated record. The transcript has 14 exons. NCBI's taxonomy places the organism in Eukaryota, Metazoa, Chordata, Mammalia, Carnivora, Felidae.